RNAcentral lists this ribosomal RNA (257 nucleotides) under uncultured Leptotrichia sp. Its description in RNAcentral is "partial 16S ribosomal RNA". It matches the Rfam family "Bacterial small subunit ribosomal RNA", at positions 96 to 355 of the family's 1533-position model. The record is from RNAcentral. Lineage: Bacteria; Fusobacteriati; Fusobacteriota; Fusobacteriia; Fusobacteriales; Leptotrichiaceae.
UGGCGGACGGGUGAGUAACGCGUAAGAACUUGCCCUUAGACUGGGAUAACAGAGGGAAACUUCUGAUAAUACUGGAUAAGUUAGUAUAUCGCAUGAUAUGCAAAUGAAAGCUACGGCACUAAAGGAGAGCUUUGCGUCCUAUUAGCUAGUUGGUAAGGUAAGAGCUUACCAAGGCGAUGAUAGGUAGCCGGCCUGAGAGGGUGGACGGCCACAAGGGGACUGAGAUACGGCCCUUACUCCUACGGGAGGCAGCAGCU